RNAcentral lists this microRNA precursor (166 nucleotides) under Hordeum vulgare subsp. vulgare (domesticated barley). RNAcentral's name for it is "MIR2118 microRNA precursor family". It matches the Rfam family "MIR2118 microRNA precursor family". Lineage: Eukaryota; Viridiplantae; Streptophyta; Magnoliopsida; Poales; Poaceae. The record is from Rfam by way of RNAcentral.
GACAUGAAGAGGAAGAAAAGAAGACCUAAGAACAGUGGACACGGGAACAUGAUUGAAGGCUAAAGCCCUCAUUCCUCGUCUAACGCUAGAGGAGGCUUUGGUUUGAGUUUUUGUGAUGCCUCCCAUGCCUAUUGUUCUUUGGUGCUCCUUCCUCUUCCUUUUGGGU